GACGAACGCUGGCGGCGUGCUUAACACAUGCAAGUCGAACGGAAAGGCCCAUCUUGCUGGGUACUCGAGUGGCGAACGGGUGAGUAACACGUGGGUGCUCUGCCCUGCACUCUGGUAUAAGCCUGGGAAACUGGGUCUAAUACCGUAUAUGACCAACUGUCGCAUUGUGGUUGGUGGAAAGCUUUUGCGGUGUGGGAUGGUCCCGCGGCCUAUCAGCUUGUUGGUGGGGUAAUGGCCUACCAAGGCGACGACGGGUAGCCGACCUGAGAGGGUGAUCGGCAACACUGGGACUGAGACACGGCCCAGACUCCUACGGGAGGAAGAAGGGGGGAAUAUGGCAAAAUGGGCGCAAGCCUGAUGCAGCGACGCGGCGUGAGGGAGGACGGCCUUCGGGUGGUAAACCUCUUUAACCAGGGACGAAGCGUGAGUGACGGUACCUGGAGAAGAAGCACCGGCCAACUACGUG
This 466-nucleotide ribosomal RNA is filed under the name uncultured bacterium. Its description in RNAcentral is "partial 16S ribosomal RNA". It matches the Rfam family "Bacterial small subunit ribosomal RNA", at positions 28 to 507 of the family's 1533-position model. The record is from RNAcentral.